UACGUAGGGUCCGAGCGUUGUCCGGAAUUAUUGGGCGUAAAGGGCUCGUAGGCGGUCUGUUGCGUCGGGAGUGAAAACUUACAGCUUAACUGUGAGCGUGCUUUCGAUACGGGCAGACUUGAGGCAUUCAGGGGAGAACGGAAUUCCUGGUGUAGCGGUGAAAUGCGCAGAUAUCGGGAAGAACACCCGUGGCGAAGGCGGUUCUCUGGGACGGUACUGACGCUGAGACGCGAAAGCGUGGGGAGCGAACAGG
Molecule: ribosomal RNA, 253 nt
Filed under: uncultured bacterium
Lineage: Bacteria
Description: partial 16S ribosomal RNA
Rfam family: Bacterial small subunit ribosomal RNA
Source: RNAcentral